AAAGAACGAAAGAAUAAGAUAGAAAGGAAUGAAAAAACAGUCAGGAUUAAUUGAUUAAUUUGGUGUGGUCCUUCGAUUUUUCAAAUUCAUU
Molecule: non-coding RNA, 91 nt
Filed under: Cryptomonas paramaecium
Lineage: Eukaryota; Cryptophyceae; Cryptomonadales; Cryptomonadaceae
Source: RNAcentral